Bison bison bison is the source of this 98-nucleotide ribosomal RNA. Lineage: Eukaryota; Metazoa; Chordata; Mammalia; Artiodactyla; Bovidae. The record is from Ensembl.
AUCAGCCUGAAGGCGCCCGAUCUCGUCUGAUCUCGGAAGCUAAGCAGGGUCGGGCCUGGUUAGUAUCUUGGAUGGGAGACCACCUGGGAAUCCCGGGU